Molecule: ribosomal RNA, 163 nt
Filed under: uncultured bacterium
Lineage: Bacteria
Description: partial 16S rRNA
Rfam family: Bacterial small subunit ribosomal RNA
Source: RNAcentral
UAGGGAAUCUUCCACAAUGGGCGAAAGCCUGAUGGAGCAACGCCGCGUGUGUGAUGAAGGUUUCGGCUCGUAAAACACUGUUGUAAGAGAAGAAUGACAUUGAGAGUAACUGUUCAAUGUGUGACGGUAUCUUACCAGAAAGGAACGGCUAACUACGUGCCAG